This 718-nucleotide ribosomal RNA is filed under the name uncultured bacterium. Its description in RNAcentral is "bacterial SSU rRNA". It matches the Rfam family "Bacterial small subunit ribosomal RNA", at positions 8 to 736 of the family's 1533-position model. The record is from RNAcentral.
AGAGUUUGAUCCUGGCUCAGGAUGAACGCUAGCGGCGGGCUUAAUACAUGCAAGUCGAACGGUGCAGCAAUGCAUAGUGGCAGACGGGUGCGUAACGCGUAUGCAACCUACCUUUUAUCGGGGGACAACAUUUCGAAAGAAGUGCUAAUACCGCGUAAGAUAGUAGUGAGACAUCUCACAGCUAUUAAACCUACGGGGAUAGAAGAUGGGCAUGCGUCUGAUUAGCUAGUUGGCGGGGUAAAGGCCCACCAAGGCGACGAUCAGUAGGGGAACUGAGAGGUUGAUCCCCCACACUGGCACUGAGAUACGGGCCAGACUCCUACGGGAGGCAGCAGUAGGGAAUAUUGGGCAAUGGAGGGAACUCUGACCCAGCCACGCCGCGUGCAGGAGGAAGGCGCUCUGCGUUGUAAACUGCUUUAGCAGGGGAAGAAAAGACUCACGCGUGAGGAAUUGACGGUACCCUGAGAAUAAGCACCGGCUAACUACGUGCCAGCAGCCGCGGUAAUACGUAGGGUGCAAGCGUUGUCCGGAUUUAUUGGGUUUAAAGGGUGCGUAGGCGGUCUAUUAAGUCAGUGUUUAAAUUUUGCAGCUUAACUGUAGGUAUGGCAUUGAUACUGAUGGACUUGAAUAUUAUAGAGGUAGCUGGAAUUUAUGGUGUAGCGGUGAAAUGCAUAGAUACCAUAAGGAACACCGAUAGCGGAGGCNGGUUACCAUGUGA